GCGCAACUCAUUGCCGGGACAAAAAAAUGCAACCACUUUGUUGAACGGAACUGGCCAAUAGUGCCCUUGACUCGGACUGAUGACGCAAGCAGACGUAAGGAAGGCGCAGCUCGCCCGCGCACCGGCUACUCCCCAGGAAACGUGUGGAGCCAGUGAAAGGAAGAAAAACAAUGGAAGGAAGGCUUGAAAAGUCCAUUACAAAACUACAGUCCUUUGAAAAAGGUUUCAAAGAUAUUAAAAUGAAAACUGAUUACCUUAAACAAUAA
Molecule: long non-coding RNA, 266 nt
Organism: Pongo pygmaeus (Bornean orangutan)
Lineage: Eukaryota; Metazoa; Chordata; Mammalia; Primates; Hominidae
Exons: 2
Source: RefSeq, a predicted model, not a curated record